Molecule: non-coding RNA, 29 nt
Filed under: Mus musculus (house mouse)
Lineage: Eukaryota; Metazoa; Chordata; Mammalia; Rodentia; Muridae
Source: RNAcentral
UGAGGACAACAUCCGGAGAUGCUGAUGGU